This is a non-coding RNA of Penaeus vannamei (Pacific white shrimp), 2794 nucleotides long. The record is from RefSeq and is a predicted model, not a curated record. Lineage: Eukaryota; Metazoa; Arthropoda; Malacostraca; Decapoda; Penaeidae.
CGUGUGCAUGUGUGUGUGUGUGUGUUUUCGUGUGUGUGUGCGUGUGCGUGUGCAUGUGGUGUGUGUUCGUGUGCGUGUGUGUGUGUGUGUGUAUGUAUGCGUGUGUGCGUGUGUUAGAGCAAUAUCCAAACUAACGAACAACGAAAAGUAAACAAGAGAAAGAGAAAAGAAAAUCCCCCCCCAAAAAAAAAAAAAAAAAAAAAAAAAAAAUACAGCCUCAGGUAAAAUAUCCAAGGCUAGUUUGAAGGGUAAAGUAAAUUAAAUCCAAAGUGUGAAUAACGAUAAGGCUGAUAAAUUACGGAAUAAAAGAGAAGGUCGGUUAAUGAAAACGUAAACCAAGCAAGACCCGAAGAAUGGUGUGGAAAGUAAAUAAAUGAUUAUUAAGAAAAGGCGCAAAUACAAUAUAUAUUCACGAAAUUGUUGUCGAAAUAUGAGACAUGCUAUAACGAAGGUGAUUCUUUUCAUGAAAGGUGUAACGUAAAAUAAAAGAGUGAAUGGUUGAAUGAAAGGUUAAGUCAAUAAGAAUGUAAAAUAGAGAAACGGAAGAGUGGAGGGAAAGGUAUGAAAGAGUAAUGUAAAAAAUAAAUAAACAAAAAAGAAAAAAAAAGUGAAUGGUUGAAUGAAAGGUUAAGUGAAUAAGAAUGUAAAAUAGAGAAACGGAAGAGUGAAGGGAAAGGUAUGAAAGAGUAAUGUAAAAAAAAAAAUAAUAAUAAAUAAAUACAUAAAUUAAAAAAUGGAAUAAAAGUCUGAGUAGAGUGAUGUAAAAAAUCAUUAAAUACAUAAAUUGAAAAAAUGGGAAAAAAAUAAAGCGUAUGUUAAGCAUAUAGAUCGUAAACUGGGUAAAGUAAUGUAAAAAAAGGAAAAAAAAGUAGAAUAUGAAAGGUUAAAUGAAAAGCAUGUAUGACACUUGGUAGAUUAAAAAAAAAAAAAAAAAAAAAAAAGCGAGAUGUUAAAUGAAAUGUAUGAAUGACUAAAAAAGAUACAUGGAAGAUAACGUGAAGGAAUACAGAAAUUAGAAAAUGAAAUUUUUAAAUAAAACGAAUGUAUAAUGAAUAUUCGAUACGGUAACAGGAACGUAAGAAAAUGAAAGAUUAAAUGAAGUGCAUGAAUGAUUUGGGGAGAAACGGAAAGAUAAGUAAAAGGUAUGGAUGGCAUAUUUAGAAAAAAAAAAAAUGUAAGAAUAUGAAAGGUAAAGCCAAAGGUAUGAAUUAUAAACUUGGAAAACUGAAACGUAUGAAAGACAAGAAAGGUAAUGAAAUGAGAGAAAAAAAAAGUUUAAAUGGAAGGUGUAGCUGAGACAUUAAUUAUUAUUAUCAUUAUUAUUAUUAUGUUUUUUUUUUUUUUUUUUCGAAAACUGGUGUCUAAUAAAGGAGCUUAAUGCAAUGUAAGAAACGGAAAGAUUAAAUGAAAGACAUGAAUGAGAGGGACAUAAGAAAUAAAAUCAUAAAAUGCAUGAAGAAGAUACGAAAGGAAUGGAUGGCAUAAUUAAGAACAGGAUUUCCUCAAUGGCUGAUACAAUGGCUGAAUUUGAUACCCACAAAAUGCAAUGAAAAGUUAAAAAGGCGAAAUAUUGUGUUCAACAUUAUAUAAAAAAAACUGACGAAAAAAGAGUUUGAACGUAAGGUAUAUGAUAAUAUUCUAGAUCAAGUUGGAUAAAGGUAAAUAAGGGAUAAGGGAGAUAAAAGUGUGGAUGACAUAUUUACGAAGGGGGAAUACCACACUGAUGAUGCGUGGGAUAAAGUAAGUAAAUAAAUAAAAUGAAAAAGAAAGAAAGGUAUGGAUAAAAUACUGGGUUCAAGAAUAUAUUAAAAGAGAAAGGUAAUUAUAGGUUGAACGAAAGGUGUGGAUGACACUGACUCGAACAUGAAUAAGAGAAAUGUAAAGAGAGAUGAGGUGUAUGGAUGACAAUAAGACAGUAAAAAUGGUCAAUAAAGAGAAUAGAUAAGAUAGUGGAAAUACUUAUACAUAAUAACAGGUUGGUGUCAGUGGGUUGAAAAAAAAAAAUGAAAGAAUAAAACAAUAAAUUUGAGGUAUUGGAUGACGAAAAGGGGAAAGAAAGGAAAUAAAAAACUAAGAGGUUAUUUAAAAGGUAUGAAAGGUAAACUUGUUGAGUAAUCAAAAAAUGAAAGUUCAGGUGAAAGGUAUAGGUGAGAGAGAGAGUGGAAUUAUUAAAUAAAAAGUAAAGGUAAAAAAAAAAGUAUGACUGGUAGGAUAGUUAGAGAAACGAAAAGCUUAAAUAAAAGGUAUGAUUGACACAGUAGAUUAAUACGAAACAAGAUUAAGUAAAAGGUAUGGGUGAACAUAGGUAGAAUAAUAGAAAAAGAAAAGAAAUAGAAGACAAAAUGAAAGACCUAAAUGACACACAAAGAAGAGGGUUACAGUGUCUAGAAACGAUAAGGUUAAAUAAAACACGUAAGAUAUGAGUAAAUACAAAAAAAUAUCAAAAUUAAACGUAUAAUGAAAGGUAUGCCUGGCACAUUUAACAUACAGACUUAAUUAAAUGACAAGUUAGAUGGAAUGAAUGACAUACCAGGGUAAAUGAAGUCAAAUUAGUUAAAGUAUAUUAUAAUGGGUAGGCUACGUGGAACAAAACAAACAUGGGUAGAUUAUCAAAGAUUUAUGCAUUGAAGGAAUUUAAAAAAACGUUAAAUAAGUUAAAUUUUAGGACGAAAGGCUGGGUAAAAGUAAUACAAAAGUAAAGAAAAAAAAUGAAGGCUGGCCUGAUAAAUUCAUAUUGCAUAAAAGAAUGGGUAGAAGGUUUGGAAAAUGUAAAAAAAAAAAAAAAAAAAAAAAA